AGAGUUUGAUUCUGGCUCAGAACGAACGCUGGCGGCGUGGAUAAGACAUGCAAGUCGUGCGACAGACCAGGAAUUGAUUACUUCGGUUUGAUUUUCCUGACGAUGAGCGGCGAACGGGUGCGUAACACGUGAGAAACCUGCCUUGAAGUUCGGGAUAGCUCGGCGAAAGUCGAAUUAAUACCGGAUGUGGCCUAGGGAUAGCAUUUUCCCUUGGUUAAAGCUCGGUCACAGAGCGCUUUUAGAUGGUCUCGCGGUCUAUCAGCUUGUUGGUGAGGUAACGGCUCACCAAGGCUACGACGGAUAACUGAUCUGAGAGGAUGAUCAGUCACACUGGAACUGAGACACGGUCCAGACACCUACGGGUGGCAGCAGUCGAGAAUCAUUCACAAUGGGCGCAAGCCUGAUGGUGCGACGCCGCGUGGGGGAUGAAGGGCUUCGGUCUGUAAACCCCUGUCAUCUGUGAGUAAGGUCUCGUAUAAAAGCUACGAGGAUUGAUAUUAGCAGAAGAGGAAGGGACGGCUAACUCUGUGCCAGCAGCCGCGGUAAUACAGAGGUCCCAAGCGUUGUUCGGAUUUACUGGGCGUAAAGGGUGCGUAGGCGGUUAGAAAAGUUUGGUGUGAAAUCUUCGGGCUCAACCCGGAAACUGCACUGAAAACUAUUUAACUAGAGGAUCGGAGAGGAGAUUGGAAUUCUCAGUGUAGCAGUGAAAUGCGUAGAUAUUGAGAGGAACACCAGUUGCGAAGGCGGAUCUCUGGACGAUUCCUGACGCUGAGGCACGAAAGCUGGGGGAGCGAAGAGGAUUAGAUACCCUCGUAGUCCCAGCCGUAAACGGUGCGCACUUGCUGUGGGCGGAUUCGACCCCGUCCGUGGCGAAGCUAACGCGUUAAGUGCGCCGCCUGGGGAGUACGGUCGCAAGAUUAAAACUCAAAGAAAUUGACG
Molecule: ribosomal RNA, 939 nt
Filed under: marine metagenome
Description: bacterial SSU rRNA
Rfam family: Bacterial small subunit ribosomal RNA
Source: RNAcentral